RNAcentral lists this long non-coding RNA (249 nucleotides) under Panax ginseng (ginseng). Its description in RNAcentral is "long non-coding RNA (PGIN_LNC018246)". The record is from RNAcentral. Lineage: Eukaryota; Viridiplantae; Streptophyta; Magnoliopsida; Apiales; Araliaceae.
UGAAUUCAAGAUUUGACUUUUGUGGAACUUAACAAGUUAAAGAGAGAGAAAACUUUCAAUUUGAUGUAAACCGAGUUUGAUAAUCUCUGAAAGUCAUCUUGUUUACAAAUAUAACUUAUUCUUUUGUUCGUAUUUCUCUGCUAAUAAUUACUAUGUAUAUUUGAUAAUCACUGAAAGUCAUCUUGUUUACAAAUAUGACUUAUUCUUUUGUUCAUAUUUCUUUGCUAGUAAUUACAAUGUAUAUUUGGG